RNAcentral lists this ribosomal RNA (776 nucleotides) under uncultured Neocallimastigales. RNAcentral's name for it is "partial large subunit ribosomal RNA". It matches the Rfam family "Eukaryotic large subunit ribosomal RNA", at positions 24 to 629 of the family's 3401-position model. The record is from RNAcentral. Lineage: Eukaryota; Fungi; Neocallimastigomycota; Neocallimastigomycetes; Neocallimastigales.
GUAGUCUCGCACAGAUGCAUAUCAAUAAGCGGAGGAAAAGAAACUAACUAAGGAUUCCCCUAGUAACGGCGAGUGAAGCGGGAAGAGCUCAAAUUUGAAAUCUUAAAGGGUUUCCCUUUACGAAUUGUAGUUUAAAGAAGUGUUUUCUGUUGAGGUUUUGGUAAAAGUUCUUUGGAAUAGGACAUCAUAGAGGGUGAGAAUCCCGUAUUUGACCUUUACUUUCAACUUUGUGAUACACUUUCAAAGAGUCGGAUUGUUUGGGAAUGCAGUCCAAAAUGGGUGGUAAAUUUCAUCUAAAGCUAAAUAUUGGCGAGAGACCGAUAGCGAACAAGUACCGUGAGGGAAAGAUGAAAAGAACUUUGAAAAGAGAGUUAAACAGUACGUGAAAUUGUCAAAAGGGAAGCGUUUGACACCAGUGUUGUUUUUCUGAAAAUCAAUUAAAGAACUGUUUAUGCUAAGUUGUUUAGACUUUAUCAGCUAUCUGUUUAGUUUUGAGCUUUUCUUUAAUGCACUUUUCAGUUAACAAGUCAACAUCAAUUUCUUUUGCUGUAAAAAAGCUUGAGGAAGGUGGCUUGAGAUUCGUCUUAAGUGUUUAGAGCCUCUUGCCUAUGCAGUCAGGAGAGAUUGAGGUCUGCAGCGUAGAUCCUUCGGGGCUAAAUGCAUUUGUGCUAAGUUAUAGCAUUUUAUAGACAACUUGUUGACUAUGAUUUGUCUUGUAGCUUACUCGCUUAUGUUAUUUUACCUACGCUUAGGAUGUUGACAGCAGUAUAGACUGU